Molecule: long non-coding RNA, 479 nt
Filed under: Elaeis guineensis (African oil palm)
Lineage: Eukaryota; Viridiplantae; Streptophyta; Magnoliopsida; Arecales; Arecaceae
Description: long non-coding RNA (EGUI_LNC044820)
Source: RNAcentral
GCUCGGGCAGUGGGCAUAUGCUCGUGUUGGUUUUGCAACUCGUUUGACAUGGAUGCCAGCACAUAACACUUGAUCCAACUGUCUUCAUCCGUCCACUUCUUAAAAGCAGCUCUUUGCUCAGCAGUAGGAUAGUUUGGUAACACAAAAGGAUCCUGAUCGAGAAUAUGGCUUAACUUUUCUGAGGUCAGGAUAAUUCUGAGGUUUCUGAGUCAGUCUUUAUAAUUCUUACCAGUCAAAUGAUUGGUUUCAAGGAUGCGAGCUAGAGGGUUUGAACUGACAUGAUGGUUUAAUUGCAAGACUAGAGAUUCAAGUUAGACUUUUGUACUUAAUAUUUUAAUUUACUUCCGGAGACUUUAAGAUGCAAAUAAUGAGUCCCACUAAUUUUUCAGAUCCCUCCACUCUCCGAAAAGAAAAUAAAAAUUAUAAUGCGAUAAAAGAUUCCUAGUGGGUGCUACGGUCCCACCAAUAACAUGCAUCUC